RNAcentral lists this non-coding RNA (117 nucleotides) under Homo sapiens (human). The record is from Rfam by way of RNAcentral. Lineage: Eukaryota; Metazoa; Chordata; Mammalia; Primates; Hominidae.
GCCGGGCGUGGUGGCUCACGCCUGUAAUCCCAGCACUUUGGGAGGCUGAGGUGGGUGGAUCACCUGAGGUCGGGAGUUCAAGACCAGCCUGACCAACAUGGAGAAACCCCGUCUCUA